GUGCCAGCAGCCGCGGUAAUACAGAGGUGGCAAGCGUUGUUCGGAUUUAUUGGGCGUAAAGGGUCCGUAGGCGGUUUGAAAAGUCAGAUGUGAAAGCCCACAGCUCAACUGUGGAACUGCAUUUGAAACUUUCAGACUAGAGUAUGAGAGGGGUUAAGGGAAUUCCCGGUGUAAGGGUGAAAUCUGCAGAGAUCGGGAGGAACACCAGUCGCGAAGGCGCUUAACUGGCUCAUUACUGACGCUCAGGGACGAAAGCUAGGGUAGCAAACGGGAUUAGAUACCCCCGUAGUCC
Molecule: ribosomal RNA, 292 nt
Filed under: uncultured bacterium
Lineage: Bacteria
Description: partial 16S ribosomal RNA
Rfam family: Bacterial small subunit ribosomal RNA
Source: RNAcentral